This 253-nucleotide ribosomal RNA is filed under the name uncultured bacterium. RNAcentral's name for it is "partial 16S ribosomal RNA". It matches the Rfam family "Bacterial small subunit ribosomal RNA", at positions 524 to 776 of the family's 1533-position model. The record is from RNAcentral.
UACGUAGGGACCGAGCGUUGUCCGGAUUCAUUGGGCGUAAAGAGCUCGUAGGCGGCUGUUCAAGUCGAACGUGAAAACUCGGAGCUCAACUCCGAGCCUGCGUUCGAUACUGGAUGGCUAGAGUCUGGUAGGGGGAUCUGGAAUUCCUGGUGUAGCGGUGGAAUGCGCAGAUAUCAGGAAGAACACCUAUGGCGAAGGCAGCACUCUGGGACGGUACUGACGCUGAGACGCGAAAGCGUGGGGAGCGAACAGG